ACGGAGAGUUUGAUCCUGGCUCAGGAUGAACGCUGGCGGCGUGCCUAACACAUGCAAGUCGAACGGGAACCCUUGGAUUCGUCUGGGGGGGAGAGUGGCGAACGGGUGAGUAACACGUAGGUGACCUGCCCCGAAGAGGGGAAUAACCACUGGAAACGGUGGCUAAUACCCCAUGUGGCCUAUCGAUUCGUCGGUAGAUUAAAGUGCCCCUUACGGGGUUGCGCUUCGGGAGGGGCCUGCGGCCCAUCAGGUAGUUGGUAGGGUAAUGGCCUACCAAGCCGAUGACGGGUAGGGGGCGUGAGAGCGUGAUCCCCCACACUGGCACUGAGAUACGGGCCAGACUCCUACGGGAGGCAGCAGUGAGGAAUAUUGCCCAAUGGACGCAAGUCUGAGGCAGCAACGCCGCGUGAGCGAUGAAGGCCUUCGGGUUGUAAAGCUCUUUUCUGGGGGACGAGGAAGGACGGUACCUCAGGAAUAAGUCACGGCUAACUACGUGCCAGCAGCCGCGGUAAUACGUAGGUGGCGAGCGUUAUCCGGAUUUAUUGGGCGUAAAGCGCGUGCAGGCGGUUCUGUAAGUCGGACGUGAAAGCUCCUGGCUUAACUGGGAGAGGUCGUUCGAUACUGCAGGACUUGAGGUCGGGAGAGGGACGUGGAAUUCCCGGUGUAGUGGUGGAAUGCGUAGAGAUCGGGAGGAACACCAGUGGCGAAGGCGGCGUCCUGGCCCGCACCUGACGCUGAGACGCGAAAGCGUGGGUAGCGAACGGGAUUAGAUACCCCGGUAGUCCACGCCGUAAACGGUGGAUACUAGGUGUUGGUGGCUAUCGUCAUCAGUGCCGUAGCUAACGCGUUAAGUAUCCCGCCUGGGAACUACGGCCGCAAGGCUAAAACUCAAAGGAAUUGACGGGGGCCCGCACAAGCGGCGGAGCGUGUGGUUUAAUUCGAGGCAACACGAAGAACCUUACCUGGGUUUGACAUGCACGUAGUAGUGAAGCGAAAGCAGAUCGAUCCUUCGGGAAGCGUGCACAGGUGCUGCAUGGCUGUCGUCAGCUCGUGCCGUGAGGUGUUCGGUUAAGUCCGGUAACGAGCGCAACCCUCGCUGUUAGUUACAUGUGUCUAACGGGACUGCCGGUUUAUUGCCGGAGGAAGGUGGGGAUGACGUCAAGUCAGCAUGGCCUCUAUAUCCAGGGCUACACACACGCUACAAUGGCCGGUACAAUGGGUUGCCAAACCGCGAGGUGGAGCUAAUCCCCCAAAGCCGGUCUCAGUUCGGAUUGCAGGCUGCAACUCGCCUGCAUGAAGUUGGAGUUGCUAGUAACCGCGCGUCAGCUAUAGUGCGGUGAAUGCGUUCCCGGGCCUUGUACACACCGCCCGUCACGUCAUGGGAGCUGGUAACACCUGAAGCCGGUGGGCUAACCGAAAGGGGGCAACUGUCGAAGGUGGGACUGGUGACUGGGACGAANUCGUAACAAGGUAGCCGUAGCGGAAGCUGCGGCUGG
RNAcentral lists this ribosomal RNA (1496 nucleotides) under uncultured bacterium. Its description in RNAcentral is "bacterial SSU rRNA". It matches the Rfam family "Bacterial small subunit ribosomal RNA". The record is from RNAcentral.